GUGGGGAAUCUUAGACAAUGGGGGAAACCCUGAUCUAGCCAUGCCGCGUGAGUGACGAAGGCCUUAGGGUCGUAAAGCUCUUUCGCUGGGGAAGAUAAUGACGGUACCCAGUAAAGAAACCCCGGCUAACUCCGUGCCAGCAGCCGCGGUAAUACGGAGGGGGUUAGCGUUGUUCGGAAUUACUGGGCGUAAAGCGCACGUAGGCGGGCUGUUAAGUCGGGGGUGAAAUCCCGGGGCUCAACCCCGGAACUGCCUUCGAUACUGGCAGCCUUGAGUUCGAGAGAGGUGAGUGGAAUUCCGAGUGUAGAGGUGAAAUUCGUAGAUAUUCGGAGGAACACCAGUGGCGAAGGCGGCUCACUGGCUCGAUACUGACGCUGAGGUGCGAAAGCGUGGGGAGCAAACAGGAUUAGAAACCCCUGUAGUCC
This 425-nucleotide ribosomal RNA is filed under the name uncultured bacterium. RNAcentral describes it as "bacterial SSU rRNA". It matches the Rfam family "Bacterial small subunit ribosomal RNA", at positions 354 to 796 of the family's 1533-position model. The record is from RNAcentral.